RNAcentral lists this ribosomal RNA (502 nucleotides) under uncultured bacterium. RNAcentral's name for it is "partial 16S ribosomal RNA". It matches the Rfam family "Bacterial small subunit ribosomal RNA", at positions 28 to 507 of the family's 1533-position model. The record is from RNAcentral.
GACGAACGCUGGCGGCGUGCCUAAUACAUGCAAGUCGAACGAACCGCGACUGAGUGCUUGCACUUGGUCAAGGUGAGUGGCGAACGGGUGAGUAACACGUGGGUAACCUACCUCAUAGUGGGGGAUAACAGUCGGAAACGACUGCUAAUACCGCAUAGGACAUGGAAUCACAUGAUUCUGUGAGGAAAGGUGGCGCAAGCUAUCGCUAAGAGAUGGACCCGCGGUGCAUUAGCUAGUUGGUAGGGUAAGGGCCUACCAAGGCGAUGAUGCAUAGCCGACCUGAGAGGGUGAUCGGCCACAUUGGGACUGAGACACGGCCCAAACUCCUACGGGAGGCAGCAGUAGGGAAUCUUCCGCAAUGGACGCAAGUCUGACGGAGCAACGCCGCGUGAGUGAAGAAGGUCUUCGGAUCGUAAAGCUGUGUUGUUAGAGAAGAACAGCGCAUAGAGUAACUGUUAUGCGUGUGACGGUAUCUAACCAGAAAGCCACGGCUAACUACGUG